This 756-nucleotide ribosomal RNA is filed under the name uncultured bacterium. Its description in RNAcentral is "bacterial SSU rRNA". It matches the Rfam family "Bacterial small subunit ribosomal RNA", at positions 8 to 796 of the family's 1533-position model. The record is from RNAcentral.
AGAGUUUGAUCAUGGCUCAGAAUCAACGCUGGCGGCGUGCCUAACACAUGCAAGUCGAACGAGAAAGGGUAGCAAUACCUGAGUAAAGUGGCGCACGGGUGAGUAACACGUGACUAACCUACCCUGGAGUGGGGAAUAACUGAGGGAAACCUUAGCUAAUACCGCAUAAUACCUACGGGUCAAAGGAGCAAUUCGCUUCAGGAGGGGGUCGCGGCCGAUUAGCUAGUUGGCGGGGUAAUGGCCCACCAAGGCAGUGAUCGGUAUCCGGCCUGAGAGGGCGCACGGACACACUGGAACUGAAACACGGUCCAGACUCCUACGGGAGGCAGCAGUGGGGAAUUUUGCGCAAUGGGGGAAACCCUGACGCAGCAACGCCGCGUGGAGGAUGAAAUCCCUUGGGAUGUAAACUCCUUUCGAUCGGGACGAUUAUGACGGUACCGGAAGAAGAAGCCCCGGCUAACUUCGUGCCAGCAGCCGCGGUAAUACGAGGGGGGCAAGCGUUGUUCGGAAUUAUUGGGCGUAAAGGGAGCGUAGGCGGUUUUGUAAGUCGUGUGUGAAAUCUUCGGGCUCAACCCGAAGUCUGCACUCGAAACUGCAGGGCUUGAGUAUGGGAGAGGUGAGUGGAAUUCCUGGAGUAGCGGUGAAAUGCGUAGAUAUCAGGAGGAACACCUGUGGCGAAAGCGGCUCACUGGACCAUUACUGACGCUGAGGCUCGAAAGCUAGGGGAGCAAACAGGAUUAGAUACCCUAGUAGUCC